GCAAAACCACCAGUGUUGAUUUUACAGAGUUCGCUACUCUAGAGUGGUCAGGUGUUAGUUGUAGUGUUCGUUUAUAAUGUAUCAUCACUCACAGUGUCAGAAACUUCCACAAGGGGGUGUUGCUUUCCAGUGUUCCAAUAAUUACGUUUGCGGGGAGUUAAGAUUCACGCCACGCCCCUUCUUUCUGAAGCGGGAAAGUCAGUUACUCAGCAUCGACCGACCUGGACUCACGUUACUGAGGUUUGGAACAUGCUGCUGAAGUUGGUUACCAGGGCUCCAGGAAAUGUAUCAAACUGCAGGAUUGAUUUAUUUUUGCUCAUUAGUGAAGGUGAUUUUUUUUCACUGUUCAUUUAUUUGUUGCUUCCUUACAUAUAUAAAUUUGUGUUUUGUCAUAGGUGGUAAGCCAAACUGACUGUGGACUAACGUAUGCAUUGUUGAUGACACUGAAAUCGAGGAAGACAUUUUGCAAGAUGUGCUGCUUACAGCUAGAGGACAAAAUGAAGAUGCAACAAGCAGCUUCUGCCACUGUCAUUUACCAUCUGAACUUGACCAAAGUCGUUCCAAGAAAUCUAAGACAACAGAUGACUCCAUGACCGAGGAAGACUCCUACAAGGAACCAGUGAGAGCAUCAUAGACUGUGAUAGUGACAUGGCAACACUGCUUUUACUGCUCCAUCUCCUUCCACCAUCACCUCAAGGGAAUCAGUGCAUCAGAUUUGCAGUGAGCAGGCUUGUGGUGUAUCAUAAGUCUUGUACCAGCCUUGAAGAACAUCUUCAGCAACGAGUAGGAUGACAACUGUACCUUACUGCUGUUGGCAGGAUCUGCGGCCAGAUUUGAGAACUUUGACGUGGCUUUUGAUAAGAAUCUCACCCCGUCAGUCGGAAGGCUCCCUUUUAGCAUUUGACUUUGUUUUUAAUGUAAUGUAUGAUGAUGGACUCCUUCACUUUCAAAUUUAAUCAAACAACAGUUUACAUGUUGGGAAAACUAGAGAUUGAGAGCUGAGAGCAAACUUUUUUUUAACUAGCUGGUAACUAGUAUGUAGUAUCUCAUUUAAGGUUUCAGCAUGCAUUUUAUCCUUGCCCAAAUUUCAAUUAAUAUGUGCUGAAGAAAAUUGUGAUUACUUUUGUGAUGUAUUGUUUUACAGAAUGUUUAGUGAAAGAUUUGCUGUGAUUUGCCCUAGAUGUGUGUCAGACAUGGAUUUUAACACUUAUUCAGUUUUAUUUAAACUCCUUGGCAAAAUUGAAAGGACUGUAUACAUAACCACUUUCUGAAAAUGUUGAAAAAGUUCACAAGUGAUACUUUAUUUUUUUUUAUAAAUAUUUAAUAAUGUCAAAUAAAUUUGUUAAAUAAAUUUGUGGUCAAUAA
Molecule: non-coding RNA, 1365 nt
Organism: Misgurnus anguillicaudatus (oriental weatherfish)
Lineage: Eukaryota; Metazoa; Chordata; Actinopteri; Cypriniformes; Cobitidae
Source: RefSeq, a predicted model, not a curated record